RNAcentral lists this ribosomal RNA (465 nucleotides) under Clostridioides difficile. RNAcentral's name for it is "bacterial SSU rRNA". It matches the Rfam family "Bacterial small subunit ribosomal RNA", at positions 338 to 795 of the family's 1533-position model. The record is from RNAcentral. Lineage: Bacteria; Bacillati; Bacillota; Clostridia; Peptostreptococcales; Peptostreptococcaceae.
CCUACGGGAGGCAGCAGUGGGGAAUAUUGGACAAUGGGCGAAAGCCUGAUCCAGCCAUGCCGCGUGUGUGAAGAAGGUCUUCGGAUUGUAAAGCACUUUAAGUUGGGAGGAAGGGCAGUAAGUUAAUACCUUGCUGUUUUGACGUUACCAACAGAAUAAGCACCGGCUAACUUCGUGCCAGCAGCCGCGGUAAUACGAAGGGUGCAAGCGUUAAUCGGAAUUACUGGGCGUAAAGCGCGCGUAGGUGGUUCAGCAAGUUGGAUGUGAAAUCCCCGGGCUCAACCUGGGAACUGCAUCCAAAACUACUGAGCUAGAGUACGGUAGAGGGUGGUGGAAUUUCCUGUGUAGCGGUGAAAUGCGUAGAUAUAGGAAGGAACACCAGUGGCGAAGGCGACCACCUGGACUGAUACUGACACUGAGGUGCGAAAGCGUGGGGAGCAAACAGGAUUAGAUACCCCAGUAGUC